This 396-nucleotide long non-coding RNA is filed under the name Cricetulus griseus (Chinese hamster). RNAcentral describes it as "lncRNA (ENSCGRG00000025726.1)". The record is from RNAcentral. Lineage: Eukaryota; Metazoa; Chordata; Mammalia; Rodentia; Cricetidae.
AGAACAUUCAAGGCACUGUUAUCAUAAUCUUCACUGUUCCUACUUUGUAUUUAUUUCAUGUACCAAAUACAGUGGAUAGAAAGGCACAGUUCCUGCUACUAGAUACCUUUCAUUUAUUCAUGGAACACACUGAAGAAAAAUAAAUGUGAACAAACGGAAAUAUUUGUAUCAAAAUUCUGCUGCCAUGGAUUGAUGACAGGCACAUGUUGGUCCUAUAAGAGGAAGAAAUGAAGAGAGAAAAUCAAAUGAGGCUUUUUUCUUGGCUUUGGAGAGCAAGACCAGAACUUUUGUACCACAUGACUAUUGUGGAUCUACUGGAGGCAGAGCAUUCUACCUGGCACCCAGGAUUUCCACUCUACACAAACCAUAAUAUUCUAUGCUCUUUGUGAAGUUCAG